GAUGAACGCUGGCGGCGUGCCUAAUACAUGCAAGUCGAGCGAACGGACGAGAAGCUUGCUCCUCUGAUGUUAGCGGCGGACGGGUGAGUAACACGUGGAUAACCUACCUAUAAGACUGGGAUAACUUCGGGAAACCGGAGCUAAUACCGGAUAAUAUUUUGAACCGCAUGGUUCAAAAGUGAAAGACGGUCUUGCUGUCACUUAUAGAUGGAUCCGCGCUGCAUUAGCUAGUUGGUAAGGUAACGGCUUACCAAGGCAACGAUGCAUAGCCGACCUGAGAGGAUGAUCGGCCACACUGGAACUGAGACACGGUCCAGACUCCUACGGGAGGCAGCAGUAGGGAAUCUUCCGCAAUGGGCGAAAGCCUGACGGAGCAACGCCGCGUGAGUGAUGAAGGUCUUCGGAUCGUAAAACUCUGUUAUUAGGGAAGAACAGAUGUGUAAGUAACUGUGCACAUCUUGACGGUACCUAAUCAGAAAGCCACGGCUAACUACGUG
This 497-nucleotide ribosomal RNA is filed under the name uncultured bacterium. Its description in RNAcentral is "partial 16S ribosomal RNA". It matches the Rfam family "Bacterial small subunit ribosomal RNA", at positions 28 to 507 of the family's 1533-position model. The record is from RNAcentral.